This 481-nucleotide ribosomal RNA is filed under the name uncultured bacterium. Its description in RNAcentral is "partial 16S ribosomal RNA". It matches the Rfam family "Bacterial small subunit ribosomal RNA", at positions 28 to 507 of the family's 1533-position model. The record is from RNAcentral.
GAUGAACGCUGGCGGCGUGCCUAACACAUGCAAGUCGAACGGAGAUUACGGACGGAAGUUUUCGGAUGGAAGACUGUAAUUCUUAGUGGCGGACGGGUGAGUAACGCGUGGGCAACCUGCCCUAUACAGGGGGAUAGCAGCUGGAAACGGCUGGUAAGACCGCAUAAGUCGGUUAAAUCGCAUGAUUUGAUCGGGAAAUGAGCAAUCAGGUAUAGGAUGGGCCCGCGUCCGAUUAGCCAGUUGGCAGGGUAAAAGCCUACCAAAGCGACGAUCGGUAGCCGGACUGAGAGGGCGGACGGCCACAUUGGGACUGAGACACGGCCCAAACUCCUACGGGAGGCAGCAGUGGGGGAUAUUGCACAAUGGAGGAAACUCUGAUGCAGCGACGCCGCGUGAGUGAAGAAGUAUUUCGGUAUGUAAAGCUCUAUCAGCAGGGAAGAUGAUGACGGUACCUGACUAAGAAGCCCCGGCUAACUACGUG